AGUAACGCGUGGGUAACCUGCCCUUAAGUCUGGGAUACCAUUUGGAAACAGAUGCUAAUACCGGAUAAAAGCUACUUUCGCAUGAAAGAAGUUUAAAAGGCGGCGUAAGCUGUCGCUAAAGGAUGGACCUGCGAUGCAUUAGCUAGUUGGUAAGGUAACGGCUUACCAAGGCGAUGAUGCAUAGCCGAGUUGAGAGACUGAUCGGCCACAUUGGGACUGAGACACGGCCCAAACUCCUACGGGAGGCAGCAGCA
RNAcentral lists this ribosomal RNA (254 nucleotides) under uncultured Lactobacillus sp. Its description in RNAcentral is "partial 16S ribosomal RNA". It matches the Rfam family "Bacterial small subunit ribosomal RNA", at positions 109 to 355 of the family's 1533-position model. Lineage: Bacteria; Bacillati; Bacillota; Bacilli; Lactobacillales; Lactobacillaceae. The record is from RNAcentral.